RNAcentral lists this ribosomal RNA (447 nucleotides) under uncultured bacterium. RNAcentral describes it as "bacterial SSU rRNA". It matches the Rfam family "Bacterial small subunit ribosomal RNA", at positions 328 to 792 of the family's 1533-position model. The record is from RNAcentral.
CUGCCAGACUCCUACGGGAGGCAGCAGUGGGGGAUAUUGCACAAUGGGGGAAACCCUGAUGCAGCGACGCCGCGUGGGUGAAGAAGCGCCUCGGCGCGUAAAGCCCUGUCAGCAGGGAAGAAAAUGACGGUACCUGAAGAAGAAGCCCCGACUAACUACGUGCCAGCAGCCGCGGUAAUACGUAGGGGGCAAGCGUUAUCCGGAUUUACUGGGUGUAAAGGGAGCGUAGACGGCCAGACAAGUCAGAAGUGAAAGCCCAGGGCUCAACCCUGGGACUGCUUUUGAAACUGCAGGACUUGAGUGGAGUAGAGGUAGGCGGAAUUCCCGGUGUAGCGGUGAAAUGCGUAGAGAUCGGGAGGAACACCAGUGGCGAAGGCGGCCUACUGGGCUUUAACUGACGCUGAAGCACGAAAGCGUGGGUAGCAAACAGGAUUAGAUACCCUCGUA